UUUCACUUGACAGUUGGCUGGUAGGCGUAUCAGUACGAUUAGUGGUUCGCCGGUUAUCCAUUUCAGUUCAUCUGUUUCAACGUAGAUUUGUAAAAAAGUGACAAGAAGUAAUAAUUCACCUGAAUGUACUUCGAGUUAACGUUGUAGUCGAGUACCCUUUUAAGUUCGACGCCAUGGGUUGGUUUCAGUGACGGUCGGUCGGUGAGGCAGUUACGGUGUUUUGUACCACACCGACUCUUACUUUUCCCGUCUGUCUCCAUGUGGUCCCUACGGAUUUUAAGGAAUGAUGCUAUGAUGAAUAUUAAAGACUGGUUGUUAAAAGAAAAAAAGGCUGCUAUCACGAGAUUUCUUCAAAACUUCAAUAUCCAUUUUUUUAAUUUUCCUCCACCCCAUCGGGGGCGGUGCCCCUGAUCGGGUGGAGGCGCUCCUAAGGGCUUGCAUAGUAGGCGAGUUGGCCUACUGUGCGAGUCCUUUGAGU
Macrobrachium nipponense is the source of this 478-nucleotide long non-coding RNA. RefSeq lists it as uncharacterized. The record is from RefSeq and is a predicted model, not a curated record. The transcript has 3 exons. Lineage: Eukaryota; Metazoa; Arthropoda; Malacostraca; Decapoda; Palaemonidae.